This is a long non-coding RNA of Lagopus leucura (white-tailed ptarmigan), 449 nucleotides long. RefSeq lists it as uncharacterized. The record is from RefSeq and is a predicted model, not a curated record. The transcript has 3 exons. NCBI's taxonomy places the organism in Eukaryota, Metazoa, Chordata, Aves, Galliformes, Phasianidae.
CUGGACUUCUGACUAGUAAUCCCAGCUGACUGCUGUUUGUAUAGUAAAAGGCCAGUUCUGCACUGCCUGCCAGAUUGUUUGUGUUAGAGGGAGCCUCAGCAACACUUCUAUAGCCAAGUCAGGUCAACACUUCUGUCUGAAAAGAGAAGCAGAUCUUAGCAGCCUGAGGAUGCAAAAUCAAGUAAUGGCCAUUUCUACAGACAUGAAGAUCUCUGCCCUGCCUCCCCCAGACAUGUGUAUUAUGCCAGGAGAACUAGCAAAGAGAGUGUAAGGAGUUGCAGAGGGAUAAAAACCAUAGGAGGAGGAGAGAAGAUGUGAGCAGAAUGAGGAAUGAGCUAAUCAGCUAACAAAACAAAGGACUGGACAACUGACAAUACAUUUCUAAAAUGACUGAAAUAUGACAAAAAUUUGAAACUUAAAAGAACAAUUAGAAUUUUCCUUAUAUCCUU